Molecule: non-coding RNA, 92 nt
Filed under: chicken gut metagenome
Also listed under: 1 other name
Description: SAM riboswitch (S box leader)
Rfam family: SAM riboswitch aptamer (S box leader)
About the family: The SAM riboswitch is found upstream of a number of genes which code for proteins involved in methionine or cysteine biosynthesis in Gram-positive bacteria. The SAM riboswitch acts at the level of transcription termination control.
Source: RNAcentral
CUUAUCAAGAGUGGCGGAGGGAACGGCCCGAUGAAGCCACGGCAACCUGCCUUCCGGCAAGGUGCCAAUUCCGGCGGUCAGCGCAAGAUGAG